RNAcentral lists this transfer RNA (73 nucleotides) under Zootermopsis nevadensis. It matches the Rfam family "tRNA". From Rfam's summary of the family: Transfer RNA (tRNA) molecules are approximately 80 nucleotides in length. Their secondary structure includes four short double-helical elements and three loops (D, anti-codon, and T loops). Further hydrogen bonds mediate the characteristic L-shaped molecular structure. tRNAs have two regions of fundamental functional importance: the anti-codon, which is responsible for specific mRNA codon recognition, and the 3' end, to which the tRNAs corresponding amino acid is attached (by aminoacyl-tRNA synthetases). tRNAs cope with the degeneracy of the genetic code in two manners: having more than one tRNA (with a specific anti-codon) for a particular amino acid; and 'wobble' base-pairing, i.e. permitting non-standard base-pairing at the 3rd anti-codon position. Lineage: Eukaryota; Metazoa; Arthropoda; Insecta; Blattodea; Termopsidae. The record is from Rfam by way of RNAcentral.
GCCACGGUGGUCUAGCGGUUAGGACACUGGCCUUGUAAUCCUGGGGUCUCGGGUUCGAUUCCCGGCGGUGCCC